RNAcentral lists this Y RNA (102 nucleotides) under Chlorocebus sabaeus (green monkey). RNAcentral's name for it is "Y RNA (ENSCSAG00000027167.1)". It matches the Rfam family "Y RNA". From Rfam's summary of the family: Y RNAs are components of the Ro ribonucleoprotein particle (Ro RNP), in association with Ro60 and La proteins. The record is from Rfam by way of RNAcentral. Lineage: Eukaryota; Metazoa; Chordata; Mammalia; Primates; Cercopithecidae.
GACUAGUCCAAGUGCCGUCAUGUUUACAACUGAUUGAUCACAAGAAAUCGCAAAUUUCUUUGUUCCUUCUCCACUCUCACUGCUUCAUUUGACUAGCCUUAA